RNAcentral lists this non-coding RNA (23 nucleotides) under Mus musculus (house mouse). The record is from RNAcentral. Lineage: Eukaryota; Metazoa; Chordata; Mammalia; Rodentia; Muridae.
GACACACAGAAGCGCCUCGGGAC